Molecule: ribosomal RNA, 492 nt
Filed under: uncultured bacterium
Lineage: Bacteria
Description: bacterial SSU rRNA
Rfam family: Bacterial small subunit ribosomal RNA
Source: RNAcentral
AUUGAACGCUGGCGGCAGGCCUAACACAUGCAAGUCGAGCGGCAGCGCGGGGCAACCUGGCGGCGAGCGGCGGACGGGUGAGGAAUGCAUCGGAAUCUACCCUGUCGUGGGGGAUAACGUAGGGAAACUUACGCUAAUACCGCAUACGACCGAGAGGUGAAAGUGGGGGACCGCAAGGCCUCACGCGAUUGGAUGAGCCGGUGCCGGAUUAGCUAGUUGGUAGGGUAAAGGCCUACCAAGGCAACGAUCCGUAGCUGGUCUGAGAGGAUGAUCAGCCACACUGGGACUGAGACACGGCCCAGACUCCUACGGGAGGCAGCAGUGGGGAAUAUUGGACAAUGGGCGCAAGCCUGAUCCAGCCAUGCCGCGUGUGUGAAGAAGGCCUUCGGGUUGUAAAGCACUUUUGUUCGGGAAGAAAUCGUGCGGAUUAAUACUUCGUACGGAUGACGGUACCGAAAGAAUAAGCACCGGCUAACUUCGUGCCAGCCGCCG